CCUACGGGAGGCAGCAGUGGGGAAUCUUAGACAAUGGGCGCAAGCCUGAUCUAGCCAUGCCGCGUGAGUGAUGAAGGCCCUAGGGUCGUAAAGCUCUUUCGCCAGGGAUGAUAAUGACAGUACCUGGUAAAGAAACCCCGGCUAACUCCGUGCCAGCAGCCGCGGUAAUACGGAGGGGGUUAGCGUUGUUCGGAAUUACUGGGCGUAAAGCGCGCGUAGGCGGACCAGAAAGUUGGGGGUGAAAUCCCGGGGCUCAACCCCGGAACGGCCUCCAAAACUCCUGGUCUUGAGUUCGAGAGAGGUGAGUGGAAUUCCGAGUGUAGAGGUGAAAUUCGUAGAUAUUCGGAGGAACACCAGUGGCGAAGGCGGCUCACUGGCUCGAUACUGACGCUGAGGUGCGAAAGUGUGGGGAGCAAACAGGAUUAGAUACCCUGGUAGUCCACACCGUAAACGAUGAAUGCCAGUCGUCGGGUAGCAUGCUGCUCGGUGACACACCUAACGGAUUAAGCAUUCCGCCUGGGGAGUACGGUCGCAAGAUUAAAACUCAAAGGAAUUGACGG
This 560-nucleotide ribosomal RNA is filed under the name uncultured Rhodobacterales bacterium. Its description in RNAcentral is "bacterial SSU rRNA". It matches the Rfam family "Bacterial small subunit ribosomal RNA", at positions 338 to 916 of the family's 1533-position model. Lineage: Bacteria; Pseudomonadati; Pseudomonadota; Alphaproteobacteria; Rhodobacterales. The record is from RNAcentral.